RNAcentral lists this ribosomal RNA (326 nucleotides) under uncultured bacterium. Its description in RNAcentral is "bacterial SSU rRNA". It matches the Rfam family "Bacterial small subunit ribosomal RNA", at positions 28 to 334 of the family's 1533-position model. The record is from RNAcentral.
GAUGAACGCUGGCGGCGUGCCUAACACAUGCAAGUCGAACGAAGCAUUAGAACUUGAUUUUUUCGGAAUGAAGGUUCAUAUGACUGAGUGGCGGACGGGUGAGUAACGCGUGGGCAACCUGCCUUACACAGGGGGACAACAGCUGGAAACGGCUGCUAAUACCGCAUAAGCGCACGGUCUCGCAUGAGACAGUGUGAAAAACUCCGGUGGUGUAAGAUGGGCCCGCGUCUGAUUAGCUGGUUGGUGGGGUAACGGCCUACCAAGGCGACGAUCAGUAGCCGACCUGAGAGGGUGACCGGCCACAUUGGGACUGAGACACGGCCCAA